RNAcentral lists this ribosomal RNA (253 nucleotides) under uncultured bacterium. Its description in RNAcentral is "partial 16S ribosomal RNA". It matches the Rfam family "Bacterial small subunit ribosomal RNA", at positions 524 to 776 of the family's 1533-position model. The record is from RNAcentral.
UACGAAGGGGGCUAGCGUUGCUCGGAAUCACUGGGCGUAAAGCGCACGUAGGCGGGUCGUUAAGUCGGGGGUGAAAUCCUGGAGCUCAACUCCAGAACUGCCUUCGAUACUGGCGAUCUUGAGUCUGGGAGAGGUGAGUGGAACUCCGAGUGUAGAGGUGAAAUUCGUAGAUAUUCGGAAGAACACCAGUGGCGAAGGCGGCUCACUGGCCCGAAACUGACGCUGAGGCACGAAAGCGUGGGGAGCAAACAGG